RNAcentral lists this ribosomal RNA (492 nucleotides) under uncultured bacterium. RNAcentral's name for it is "partial 16S ribosomal RNA". It matches the Rfam family "Bacterial small subunit ribosomal RNA", at positions 29 to 507 of the family's 1533-position model. The record is from RNAcentral.
AGUGAACGCUGGCGGUAGGCCUAACACAUGCAAGUCGAACGGCAGCACAGUAAGAGCUUGCUCUUACGGGUGGCGAGUGGCGGACGGGUGAGGAAUACAUCGGAAUCUACUUUUUCGUGGGGGAUAACGUAGGGAAACUUACGCUAAUACCGCAUACGACCUACGGGUGAAAGCAGGGGAUCUUCGGACCUUGCGCGAUUGAAUGAGCCGAUGUCGGAUUAGCUAGUUGGCGGGGUAAAGGCCCACCAAGGCGACGAUCCGUAGCUGGUCUGAGAGGAUGAUCAGCCACACUGGAACUGAGACACGGUCCAGACUCCUACGGGAGGCAGCAGUGGCGAAUAUUGGACAAUGGGCGCAGGCCUGAUCCAGCCAUACCGCGUGGGUGAAGAAGGCCUUCGGGUUGUAAAGCCCUUUUGUUGGGAAAGAAAAGCAGCAGGUUAAUACCCCGCUGUUCUGACGGUACCCAAAGAAUAAGCACCGGCUAACUUCGUG